AGGACGAACGCUGGCGGCGUGCCUAAUGCAUGCAAGUCGCACGCAGUGCCUUCGGGUAUUGAGUGGCGCACGGCUGAGUAGCACGUGGGAACAUGCCCUUCAGUGGGGGAUAACACCGCGAAAGCGGUGCUAAGCCCGCAUACGCUCGUCGUAAGACGCGGAAAGCCGUAAGGCGCUGAGGGAGUGGCCCGCGGCCCAUCAGGUAGUUGGGGGGUAACGGCUUCCCAAGCCGAUGACGGGUAGCUGGUCUGUGAGGACAACCAGCCAGACUGGGACUGAGACACGGCCCAGACUCCUACGGGAGGCAGCAGCAAGGAAUUUUCGCAAUGGGCGCAAGCCUGAACGAGCAACGCCGCGUGGAGGAUGACGGCCUUCGGGUUGUAAACUCCUUUUGGGGGGAUGAUAAUGACAGUACCCCCGAUAAGGCUCGGCUAACUCUGUGCCAGCAGCCGC
Molecule: ribosomal RNA, 453 nt
Filed under: uncultured bacterium
Lineage: Bacteria
Description: SSU rRNA
Rfam family: Bacterial small subunit ribosomal RNA
Source: RNAcentral